This 165-nucleotide ribosomal RNA is filed under the name uncultured bacterium. RNAcentral describes it as "partial 16S ribosomal RNA". It matches the Rfam family "Bacterial small subunit ribosomal RNA", at positions 355 to 511 of the family's 1533-position model. The record is from RNAcentral.
UAGGGAAUCUUCGGCAAUGGACGAAAGUCUGACCGAGCAACGCCGCGUGAGUGAAGAAGGUUUUCGGAUCGUAAAACUCUGUUGGUAGAGAAGAACGUUGGUGAGAGUGGAAAGUUCAUCAAGUGACGGUAACUACCCAGAAAGGGACGGCUAACUACGUGCCAA